RNAcentral lists this ribosomal RNA (826 nucleotides) under Salmonella enterica subsp. enterica serovar Paratyphi B var. L(+) tartrate +. RNAcentral's name for it is "partial 23S ribosomal RNA". It matches the Rfam family "Bacterial large subunit ribosomal RNA", at positions 446 to 1269 of the family's 2925-position model. Lineage: Bacteria; Pseudomonadati; Pseudomonadota; Gammaproteobacteria; Enterobacterales; Enterobacteriaceae. The record is from RNAcentral.
GGGGGGACCAUCCUCCAAGGCUAAAUACUCCUGACUGACCGAUAGUGAACCAGUACCGUGAGGGAAAGGCGAAAAGAACCCCGGCGAGGGGAGUGAAAAAGAACCUGAAACCGUGUACGUACAAGCAGUGGGAGCACAGGUUUACCUGUGUGACUGCGUACCUUUUGUAUAAUGGGUCAGCGACUUAUAUUCUGUAGCAAGGUUAACCGUAUAGGGGAGCCGGAGGGAAACCGAGUCUUAAUUGGGCGUUAAGUUGCAGGGUAUAGACCCGAAACCCGGUGAUCUAGCCAUGGGCAGGUUGAAGGUUGGGUAACACUAACUGGAGGACCGAACCGACUAAUGUUGAAAAAUUAGCGGAUGACCUGUGGCUGGGGGUGAAAGGCCAAUCAAACCGGGAGAUAGCUGGUUCUCCCCGAAAGCUAUUUAGGUAGCGCCUCGUGAAUUCAUCUCCGGGGGUAGAGCACUGUUUCGGCUAGGGGGCCAUCCCGGCUUACCAACCCGAUGCAAACUGCGAAUACCGGAGAAUGUUAUCACGGGAGACACACGGCGGGUGCUAACGUCCGUCGUGAAGAGGGAAACAACCCAGACCGCCAGCUAAGGUCCCAAAGUCAUGGUUAAGUGGGAAACGAUGUGGGAAGGCCCAGACAGCCAGGAUGUUGGCUUAGAAGCAGCCAUCAUUUAAAGAAAGCGUAAUAGCUCACUGGUCGAGUCGGCCUGCGCGGAAGAUGUAACGGGGCUAAACCAUGCACCGAAGCUGCGGCAGCGACGCUGAUGCGUUGUUGGGUAGGGGAGCGUUCUGUAAGCCUGCGAAGGUGGCCUGUGAGGG